RNAcentral lists this ribosomal RNA (2743 nucleotides) under Rickettsiales bacterium. RNAcentral's name for it is "23S ribosomal RNA". It matches the Rfam family "Bacterial large subunit ribosomal RNA". The record is from RNAcentral. Lineage: Bacteria; Pseudomonadati; Pseudomonadota; Alphaproteobacteria; Rickettsiales.
UCUUAAGUAUAAAAAGGGCAUUCGGUGGAUGCCUUGGCACAUAAAGGCGAUGAAGGACGUAAUACGUUGCGAUAAGCUCCGGGGAGCUGCGAAUAAGCUUUGAUCCGGAGAUUUCCGAAUGGGAAAACCCAAUUGCUUCGGCAAUUAUCAUAUACUGAAUUCAUAGGUAUAUGAGGCAAACCUGGUGAACUGAAAUAUCUAAUUAGCCAGAGGAAAAGAAAUCAACCGAGACUCCGCUAGUAGUGACGAGCGAACGCGGACCAGGCCAGUGGUAAUUUUGUAAUAACUGGAACUGUUUGGAAAAGCAGGCCAAAGUGGGUGAUAGCCCCGUACAGGUAAAAAACAUUAUUAUCCUCGAGUAGAACGGGACACGUGAAAUCUUGUUUGAAUAUGGGAGGACCACCUUCCAAGCCUAAGUACUCUUAUGUGACCGAUAGUGAACUAGUACCGUGAGGGAAAGGUGAAAAGUACCCCGAUAAGGGGAAUGAAAUAGUACCUGAAACCGAAUGCUUACAAGCAGUAGGAGCUCUUUAUGAGUGACUGCGUACCUUUUGUAUAAUGGGUCAGCGACUUAAUUUAUUUAGCAAGCUUAAGCCGUUAGGUGUAGGCGUAGCGAAAGCGAGUUUUAAUAGAGCGUUUAGUUAAAUGGAUUAGACCCGAAACCGGGUGAUCUAGGUAUGAGCAGGUUGAAGAUGGAGUAAGAUCCAUUGGAGGACCGAACCCACCAAUGUUGAAAAAUUGGGGGAUGACUUGUGCCUAGGGGUGAAAGGCCAAUCAAACCCGGAGAUAGCUGGUUCUCCGCGAAAUAUAUUUAGGUAUAGCGUUAUAUAUUACCAUCGGGGGUAGAGCACUGAAUAGGCUAGGGGGGCCCAAAGCCUUACCAAACCUAAUUAAACUCCGAAUACCGAUGAGUACAGUAUAGCAGUCAGACCUAGGGUGCUAACGUCCUAGGUCGAGAGGGAAACAACCCAGACCGUCAUCUAAGGUCCCCAAAUCAUGGCUAAGUGGUAAAGGAUGUAAGAAAGCCAAGACAGCUAGGAGGUUGGCUUAGAAGCAGCCACCCUUUAAAGAAAGCGUAACAGCUCACUAGUCUAAUUAAGCCUUCUUGCGCCGAAAAUGUAACGGGGCUAAAGCCAUGUACCGAAGAUACGGAUUCUUUUUAGAAUAGUAGCGGAGCGUUCUGUAAGUCUGUGAAGAUAUAUUGUGAAAUAUAUUGGAGAUAUCAGAAGUGAGAAUGCUGACAUGAGUAACGAUAAAAAGUGUGAGAAACACUUUCGCCGAAAUUCCAAGGUUUCCUGCGUAAAGCUAAUCUGCGCAGGGUUAGUCGGCCCCUAAGGCGAGGCUGAAAAGCGUAGUCGAUGGGAACAAGGUUAAUAUUCCUUGACCUGGAGGUAGUGACGGAGAUGAAAUUUUGUAUUCGCUUAUUGGAUUGUGAAUGCAAUUGGAUUCUUCCAGGAAAUAGCUCCUCCGUAUAGACCGUACCGUAAACCGACACAGGUGGAAAGGUAGAGUAUACCAAGGCGCUUGAGAGAACGAUGCUGAAGGAACUAGGCAAAUUGCACCUGUAACUUCGGGAGAAGGGUGACCUAUUUUUAGGCAACUAAGGAUAGGUGGCACAGAAAUGGGGGUAGCGACUGUUUAUUAAAAACACAGGACUCUGCUAAGUCAAUAAGACGAUGUAUAGGGUCUGACGCCUGCCCAGUGCUGGAAGGUUAAGAGGAGAAGUGCAAGCUUUGAAUCGAAGCCCCAGUGAACGGCGGCCGUAACUAUGACGGUCCUAAGGUAGCGAAAUUCCUUGUCGGGUAAGUUCCGACCCGCACGAAUGGCGUAACGACUUCCCCACUGUCUCCAGCAUCGACUCAGUGAAAUUGAAUUCGCCGUUAAGAUGCGGUGUAACCGCGGUCAGACGGAAAGACCCCGUGAACCUUUACUACAACUUAGCAGUGACGUUAGGAAUGUAAUGUGCAGGAUAGGUGGGAGACUUUGAAGUUAGGACGUUAGUCCUGAUGGAGUCACCCUUGAGAUACCACCCUUUACAUUUUUGACGUCUAACCUCAUACCAUUACCUGGUAUAGGGACCCUGUUAGGCGGGUAGUUUGACUGGGGCGGUCGCCUCCCAAAUAGUAACGGAGGCGCGCGAAGGUAAGCUCAGGUUGGUCGGAAACCAACUUUUAGAGUGUAAUGGCAUAAGCUUGCCUGACUGUGAGGCUGACAAGCCAAGCAGAGACGAAAGUCGGUCAUAGUGAUCCGGUGGUUCUGUGUGGAAGGGCCAUCGCUCAACGGAUAAAAGGUACUCCGGGGAUAACAGGCUGAUGAUUCCCAAGAGCUCAUAUCGACGGAAUCGUUUGGCACCUCGAUGUCGGCUCAUCACAUCCUGGGGCUGGAGAAGGUCCCAAGGGUUCGGCUGUUCGCCGAUUAAAGUGGUACGUGAGCUGGGUUUAGAACGUCGCGAGACAGUUCGGUCCCUAUCUGCCGUGGUCGUAAGGAAAAUUGAAGGGAGCUGCCUCUAGUACGAGAGGACCGAGGUGGACAUACCUCUAGUCGACCUGUUGUUGCGCCAGCAGCAUUGCAGGGUAGCUACGUAUGGAAGGGAUAACCGCUGAAAGCAUCUAAGUGGGAAGCCCACCCUAAGAUUAAUUUUCCCUAUCAGAGCCGUGGAAGACCACCACGUUGAUAGGCUGGAUGUGUAAGUACAGUAAUGUAUUUAGCUAACCAGUACUAAUAGCUCGAUUGACUUAAUAAU